Molecule: long non-coding RNA, 6328 nt
Filed under: Cicer arietinum (chickpea)
Lineage: Eukaryota; Viridiplantae; Streptophyta; Magnoliopsida; Fabales; Fabaceae
Description: long non-coding RNA (CARI_LNC002349)
Source: RNAcentral
UCAAAUCUUGAGGGGAAGCAAAGGAAACCAAUACCCUAGUCAGACAAGUGGUUCAAAUGAUAUUCAUUUGCCUAUUGCAUAUUGCUAUGCUCCAAUAUUUGAAGAGGAUAACAAGGAAGUCUUUUAGGCUUACAUUCGGAUGGUUCUGGCUGAUCAAAACCAAUAAGGCCAUACUAUGAAAGUGUUGAAGAGGAAGACAAAGCUGAUGACGAAGAAGCUUACCUUAGUCUAUAAUGAUGUUACAAGGUAAUCCCUACUUCUGAGUCCAAUUAUAUUUAUGUUUCUAUUAAUGUUAAUAGCAGUGUAGUUUUAAAUUCGUCCUAUGCUUGAAAAUACACUUCCAACGCAUAUUUACCUUCUAUAGAUUCAAAACCCCAAACUCAACUUUAAACUAUUAUUAAUGUAUUCGAACCUGAAACUCAACCAUCCUCUACCCCUAAACCAGACUCUCAAACAACGAACACCAUUCUCAUUUCUGACCAACUCAAAGAAAAUAUUUCUUCUUUAAAGCACUACAAGAAAAAAAAACGUUUUGCGGCGGUUAAAAAGGGGGUUUGCGGCAGUUGUAACCGCUGCAGUUUGAUGUUUGUGAAGGUUCUGCAACUGUCGCAGAUUCGUGCGUCGCAAGGCCAGUUUGCGACGGUUCACAAAACCCUAAGGAAAUAUUAGUUGCUAGAUGUAAGACGGUAACUUUCAAAACCCUAAUUUCUUCAAUUUUGAUAUAUAUUGUAUUCAAUGUGUUGCUUAAUUUGUCAACUCCAUUUUUAUUUUAUGAAAUUAAGUAGCAAAAUUAUAUUUUCUCGAUGGAGACAUGUUUUAUCGUUCGCAAAAUUUUAAAGUGGCUCUAUUUUCGACGAAACUUUUUGCCCUAGUUAUUGAGAUGGUUAGGGUUUGUAAUGUGUUUGGGAAAAACAUUUCAGGAACUAUGUUAAAAUUAUUCAUCAAAGAAUAAUUUAAUCAAUUUACGGACGAAAUAUUAUCAACAAAUAUUUUAAGAGAUAUAAGUUACGGUUAGAUUUAUCUGAGAAUUGAAUUGUGUCGGAGUAUAUAUUUUUGUGAAGAAAGUUACUGAUGUGACAUAAAAUUAUUUGAAAUCUCCUAUAUAAAGAACCAUAUCACUCCCUCCACCAUCCUUUUCUCACGUUUGCUUUCUCCCCUUGGGUUCCUUCUUUCAUUUUUCUAAACAAAAAAUUAGAGUGUUGAUGAAGUGUUUAUUGGUUCAAAUAUCUCCCUAGAGUAAGGUCAAGAAGGAUUUUGAAAAGACACUAAGAGCCAAAGUCACUCCAUGCAUCAAGAUGAAGUUUUUGAGGUGAGAAACGAUUUCGCUUCUCUUCUCCCUCCUUUAGCCACAAGGUACCAUGUAUGUAAGGGUAUGGUGUUUUUUUUUUUCUUCCUUUUGUGUUGCCUUGAUCUUUAACUAGUAUAUAGGUGUUGAUAGUUAAUGGCUUAAAAAAAAAACAUUUUUCCUGCUUCUUUUUUACUUAGCCGAAACCAGUCCUAGAGAUAGGGGAACAUAUUUUUGUGGUUUACGAUAAAGUUUUUGAUGAAGAAUUUUUUCUUUUGCUGAGAAGAGUUUUCAAAAUUUCUUUUUCAUAAAACCUUACUAAGUUGUCCAUGUUUGUUUAAUGUAAAAAAGAAUAAUAAGACAAGUGUGGAAACAUACUUUGAAAAAUUGAUUUUUGUGUGAUUAAAGUUAUGUACAUGAGUUGUGAGUUGAUUUCAAAUAAAUGAAUUUGAACCGAUGAUAGAAAUUUUAUUGUUACUUUUUUUUGAUAUAAAACUAUAUAAAUUUUAUUAAAUAGCUUUAAUUAGUAAAGUUAGGAAAUGUUUUUCCAGUUAUGUUUUUGUGAUGAUUUUUGAACUAAAAUGACAAAUUGGAUGUUAAUAUAUUUGAGGACCAAAGCCAUAGAUUGAGAUAUGCAUUGUUCCUUUGGUUUCCUAGAGUGUAGACAUAUUAUACAAACAAUUAUAGAAGAAUCAAAAACAGAAAAGUCGUCCAUAAAAAUUUUGAUAUAUUUUUCAUGCAUAUAAGAAAAUGUGGACAUCAUCCACCUUUGAAAUAUGGAAAUGCACAUUACAUAUUCAAAAAUGCAUUCGUCAAUGAAAAAUGUUCUAUAAGCAAGUGUAAAGGCGACAUUUUCUUAAUCUUAAAGGACUAUGGCAAUUUGAUUAUAUCUAGAGUUUUUAAGCGUCUGAUCAAUGAAAGGAAGUAGAAAAUGAUAUUUUCUUGCAUCAAUGUUCAAUAUCCUAUAGUCAAUACACAGUUUCACCCAUAACAAUACGAGUUGGAAUCAACUUGUUUUCUCAUUCACAAUCAAUGUAGUCUCUUCAUUUUUAGGGACAACUUGAACAUGAGGUUGACUUCAAGGAGUUUCACCACUUAUUUUUUAAUCACUUCCUUUGUUGUCGAGUUAAGUCUUCUUCCAAGUUGAACUAUUCGGUUGGGGUCUUCUGUAAGACCCAUAAUUUUAAAGUACCCUUUAUGUAUCUUUGGUGUAUUUUAGAUUUUGGCUCGGAGGCUUUUAAGUUAAAGUUAAUAAUAUUUUGGAGUUUUAUAAUCAAAAAGAUAUUUUAAUGCCGAUUAAAAUUUCUCGUCGAUAAAUAAAUUGAAAUUAACUGCGGUGAAUCCUUUACGGAGAAUUUAAUGCGUUUCGGGUGAAAUGGUAAUUUAACAAAUAUCUAGAUAUUUUGAGAUAUUUGUUAAGUUAUGUUUAUUAUAUAUAUAUGUGUUUGUUUGGAGGGAAAAAGAAAGGAAAACUAGAAGGAAGGAAAAGGAAAAGAAAAGAGUAUAUAAAGGAAAGAAGGAAAAAGGAAGAAAGGAAAAACAAAGGAAAGAAAAAGAAAGGAAGGAAAUUCAUAAAAUUUCCAUCUUCUUCCUCGGACACUUCACGCCCAAGAUUUCCCCCUCCUCCAUUUUUCGUUUUCGUCGCUUUCUUUUCUUCAAAACUAGUAACCCAAGGUUGGGUGAGAGUUAGAACAAGGAUUUCGCAACUCCACUCUUCCUCCUUGAUUCGAAAACGAAGAAAAACGGUAUUUGAGAUUCAAACGCAAACCCCUCCGUUUCAUCUAGAUCCAAGCUUCAUUUCGCGAAGGGUUAGAAGGGAAAGUUGCUCACUACCACGCUACGGUGCUAGGGGACCAACUUGGAGGCGACGUUGCGAGCGAGGAUUUUUAACGGUUUUACUCGCGGUACCGGAAAACCACGUUGAAGCUAACGAUAAGGUAAGGGCUCCUUCCAAACUUUUAGUUUGCAUUUAGGGACUUAUCUGUGGUUGUGUGGGAAGGAGUUUGUUAGGGUUUAAUGUAUCGAUUUGGGGAAAAACGAAUCUAAUGCGUUAUGGGUAAAACCUUAGAGUUAGGUUUUGUUUAUAUUGAUGAAUGUUUCGUGGUAACUGAAUUUGAGGUCAUUUGUGUAUGAAUAUGUGUAAAUGAAGUCUGAUGUAUUUGGGUGUCAUGUUGCGUUGAUUUGUGUUCGUCGUAUUUGGCGUAUUCAUACUUGAUGGGUGUUGAUUGAUGGGUUUUGGUGUGAAUUAUGGAUUGAUUGUGGGAGUAUAUUUGAGCUUGUUUUCUGUGAAAUUUGAAAACCAUUAGAAUUAAACGAGUAUUAAAAAUGAGGAAUCUUUUAAUACCGCGGUUUACUUAAUGUCCGUUUGAGAAAAAUGUUUAAGUUAAACGAGUCUUAAGAAUGAGGAAUCUCUUAAGGUCUGCGUUUACUUAAUGUUGUUUUGGAAAAUCGUUGAGUUAAAUGAGCAUUAAGAAUGGGGAAUCUCUUAAUGUCUUGAUUUGCUUAAUGUUUGUUUUGAAAAAUCAGUUAAGUUAAAAGAGUAUUAAGAAUGGGGAAUCUCUUAAUAUGUCUGUUUGCUUAAUGUUUGUCGUGAGAACCGUUUAAGUUAAAUGGAUAUUAAAAAUGGGGAAUCUUUUAAUACCGCGGUUUACUUAAUGUCCGUUUGAGAAAAAUGUUUAAGUUAAACGAGUCUUAAGAAUGGGGAAUCUCUUAAGGUCUGCGUUUACUUAAUGUUGUUUUGGAAAAUCGUUGAGUUAAAUGAGCAUUAAGAAUGGGGAAUCUCUUAAUGUCUUGAUUUGCUUAACGUUUGUUUUGAAAAAUCAGUUAAGUUAAAAGAGUAUUAAGAAUGGGGAAUCUCUUAAUAUGUCUGUUUGCUUAAUGUUUGUCGUGAGAACCGUUUAAGUUAAAUGGAUAUUAAAAAUGGGGAAUCUUUUAAUACCGCAGUUUACUUAAUGUGCGUUUGAGAAAAAUGUUUAAGGUAAACGAGUCUUAAGAAUGGGGAAUCUCUUAAGGUCUGCGUUUACUUAAUGUUGUUUUGGAAAAUCGUUGAGUUAAAUGAGCAUUAAGAAUGGGGAAUCUCUUAAUGUCUUGAUUUGCUUAAUGUUUGUUUUGAAAAAUCAGUUAAGUUAAAAGAGUAUUAAGAAUGGGGAAUCUCUUAAUAUGUCUGUUUGCUUAAUGUUUGUCGUGAAAANNNNNNNNNNNNNNNNNNNNNNNNNNNNNNNNNNNNNNNNNNNNNNNNNNNNNNNNNNNNNNNNNNNNNNNNNNNNNNNNNNNNNNNNNNNNNNNNNNNNNNNNNNNNNNNNNNNNNNNNNNNNNNNNNNNNNNNNNNNNNNNNNNNNNNACAAAAUCGAUUGGCCAAUCGAUUUUGUAAUUAGUUUUUCGAAAUCAUUUAAGAAAUCGAUUGGGCCUUAAGUCAGGGACUCAUCCAUAUUCGACCAAAUCGAUGUGGACAUCGAUUGGCUUAAAACCUGGGGCUCAGUACUCACUCAAUCGAUUUCCCAAUCGAUUGAAUCAAGCCAGAGUUCAAAAUUUCACUAAAAACCUUCAGGAAAUUGAUUUGGAAAUCGAUUGGCAUUAAGUCAGGGGCUCAGUCAAUCCUGUCAAUCGAUUGAAUUAAGCCCAGGAUUCUGUUUUCAUCAAAAUCCUCCACCCUAAUCGAUUGCCUAAUCGAUUGGCUCAGUGAAAAUCCUCAGUUUUAGUUGUAUGAUUGAUUGCUCAUGAAUCUAUCCAUGUCUUGAUUUGUUAUGUUAUAAUUAGGGGAUUGAGAACCUCAUGUUGCUUUCAUUUUUAAUUGGCAAGUAUUGUAUGAACCUUUCGCAUAUUGAAAAUCCUGUUAAGGUGCAUGCUUAGUUGAAAAGUUAUUUUGAGCAUUUAAAAACUUAAUUGAUAUGUGUUAACUGUUAUUUUUUGGUUGGUGACCCUUUACAAUUAUUGUGGAAAUCUGGGCUUUGCCCUCAGAUGAGAGUCAGGACGGUCCUACCGGUUCGUACCCUACGGACGAGAAUGGAGAUGGGAACGCUUGACUGCAGUUACGUUAGGAGGAUCUCACGGGGCGCGUGGAGAUCACUCAGGGUGUAUAGCUUUUUGGUAGGAUGAUCAGAUUAGGAUGAUGUAUAGGGACUAGGUGUCCUUCUUUUUGGAUUGGAGUAUUUUUAGUUUGGAAAACUAUACUUAUACUAAUAUUGUCAGUCUGACUUCUUAUUUGAAUGGGUUUCAUGUACCAUUUGUUGUUGUGUAAAUGGUUUGGAUUUAUAAUUGGAGAAACUUUUCCGCUGCUUGUAAAUUAUAAUGACUCAAUUAUUUAUCCAAAGGCAUUUCAUGAUUUAAUUUUCUGUUUUAUUUUAAUUCCUUUUGAAAAAAAAAAAUAUAUACCCUCGCUUUGAAAAACGGGGUGUUACAUCUUCUUCCAUCAAAAUUUUAUGCAUACAAAUAUUGGGACUUAUACUCUUCAAUGUACCAACCAAUAGCACCCUUGUGCCCCCUCAAAGUUUUCAACAUUUUUUCUUCCGGUAGUUCACUCAAGCCUACAUUUCUAAUAUCUUUGCGUUCGUCUUCUCACAAAGAAAUAUAUACUCAAGUGAGAUGGUAAUUGCUUGAGUUGAACAAUAAGUGCUUUUUUUUUCUUUGCAAAUUCUUCCUCUUUAGGCCUCAUCUCCUCCCGCCUAGUGUGAAAAUUGGAGAAGCUAAAUGGUGUUGCCACUAACAUGGCUAAUGCUUCCUUUUCUCUCAUGUCUCUACUUUCUUCUACUACUUCAUGAGACAAACAUAAGACCCUUUCAAGAAGUAGAGUUUGUACUUGAUUUUGAAAUCUCUCUUCCAUUAGUGAAUCAAGAAUUUCAAUUCUAUGUAACAGUUACAUCAUGCACCUUCAAAUUUAAGGUGUCAUCCACCAUUUAACUCUCCGAUUUUUAACCACGAGAACUAAUUUUGUUUUUAAGAAAUUUAAAUAAAAUACUCUUAUCAUAAAGUACAUGUAAUUAAAGAUUGCACUAGUUUAAACAAUCUCUUGCAUGGUCUAAAAGCUAAAAUAUUUUAUAAAAUUAA